AGGUUAAGCUAGAAAGGGCGCACGGUGGAUGCCUUGGCACUAGGAGCCGAUGAAGGACGGGGCUGUCCGUAAUGGGGCAGUAUCCAUGCCUGAAUCCAUAGGGCAUGGAGGGCACACCCGGGGAACUGAAACAUCUUAGUACCCGGAGGAGAAGAAAGCAACCGCGAUUCCCURAGUAGCGGCGAGCGAAACGGGAACAGCCCAAACCAAGAGGCAUGUCCUCUUGGGGUUGUAGGACCGCUCACGAUGGGAGUGAGAAAGGRACGGGGUAGACGAACCGGUCUGGAACGGCCGGCCAGAGAAGGUGASAGCAAUCCCGUCGGAAGCAGGGAGGACCAUCUCCCAAGGCUAAAUACUCCCUAGUGACCGAUAGUGCACCAGUACCGUGAGGGAAAGGUGAAAAGCACCCCGGGAGGGGAGUGAAAGAGAACCUGAAACCGUGUGCCUACAAGUAGUCAGAGCSCGUUSAUGSGUGAUGGCGUGCCUUUUGUAGAAUGAACCGGCGAGUGACGAUGGCGUGCGAGGUUAAGCCGRAGAGGCGGAGCCGCAGCGAAAGCGAGUCUGAACAGGGCGUGUGAGUACGUCGUCGUCGACCCGAAACCAGGUGAUCUACCCAUGUCCAGGGUGAAGGCCGGGUAACACCGGCUGGAGGCCCGAACCCACGCACGUUGAAAAGUGCGGGGAUGAGGUGUGGGUAGGGGUGAAAUGCCAAUCGAACUUGGAGAUAGCUGGUUCUCCCCGAAAUAGCUUUAGGGCUAGCCUCGGGUUURRGAGUCUUGGAGGUAGAGCACUGAUUGGGCUAGGGGCCCAAAMCGGGUUACCGAACCCAGUCAAACUCCGAAUGCCAAYGACUUAUGCCCGGGAGUCAGACUGCGAGUGAUAAGAUCCGUGGUCGAGAGGGRAACAGCCCAGACCGCCAGCUAAGGCCCCGAAGUGCACGUUCAGUGGAAAAGGAUGUGGAGUUGCMRAGACAACCAGGAUGUUGGCUUAGAAGCAGCCACCAUUUAAAGAGUGCGUAAUAGCUCACUGGUCGAGUGACUCUGCGCCGAAAAUGUACCGGGGCUAAACGUGCCGCCGAAGCUGCGGGAUGACCGUUGGUCAUCGGUAGGGGAGCGUUCUAAGGGCAGAGAAGCCAGACCGGAAGGACUGGUGGAGCGCUUAGAAGUGAGAAUGCCGGUAUGAGUAGCGAAAACAGAGGUGAGAAUCCUCUGCGCCGAAAGCCUAAGGGUUCCUGAGGAAGGUUCGUCCGCUCAGGGUUAGUCGGGACCUAAGCCGAGGCCGAAAGGCGUAGGUGAUGGACAACAGGUUGAGAUUCCUGUACCACCUUNNGAUCCGGAAGUCCCCGAUUUCACACUGCCAAGAAAAGCCUCUAGCGAGGGAAGAGGUGCCCGUACCGCAAACCGACACAGGUAGGCGAGGAGAGAAUCCUAAGGCGCGCGGGAGAACUCUCGUUAAGGAACUCGGCAAAAUGACCCCGUAACUUCGGGAGAAGGGGUGCUCUUUGGGGUGAAGAGCCCUGAAGAGCCGCAGUGAAAAGGCCCAAGCGACUGUUUAUCAAAAACACAGGUCUCUGCGAAGCCGAAAGGCGACGUAUAGGGGCUGACACCUGCCCGGUGCUGGAAGGUUAAGGGGAGCGCUUAGCGGAAGCGAAGGUGCGAACCGAAGCCCCAGUAAACGGCGGCCGUAACUAUAACGGUCCUAAGGUAGCGAAAUUCCUUGUCGGGUAAGUUCCGACCCGCACGAAAGGUGUAACGACUUGGGCGCUGUCUCAACGAGAGACCCGGUGAAAUUAUACUACCUGUGAAGAUGCAGGUUACCCGCGACAGGACGGAAAGACCCCGUGGAGCUUUACUGCAGCCUGAUAUGGAAUUUUGGUAUCGCUUGUACAGGAUAGGUGGGAGCCUGGGAAGCCGGAGCGCCAGCUUCGGUGGAGGCGGCGGUGGGAUACCACCCUGGCGGUAUUGAAAUUCUAACCCGCACCCCUUARCGGGGUGGGAGACAGUGUCAGGYGGGCAGUUUGACUGGGGCGGUCGCCUCCCAAAAGGUAACGGAGGCGCCCAAAGGUUCCCUCAGAAUGGUUGGAAAUCAUUCGGAGAGUGCAAAGGCACAAGGGAGCUUGACUGCGAGACGGACAGGUCGAGCAGGGACGAAAGUCGGGCUUAGUGAUCCGGUGGUUCCGCAUGGAAGGGCCAUCGCUCAACGGAUAAAAGCUACCCCGGGGAUAACAGGCUGAUCUCCCCCAAGAGUCCACAUCGACGGGGAGGUUUGGCACCUCGAUGUCGGCUCAUCGCAUCCUGGGGCUGUAGUCGGUCCCAAGGGUUGGGCUGUUCGCCCAUUAAAGCGGUACGCGAGCUGGGUUCAGAACGUCGUGAGACAGUUCGGUCCCUAUCCGUCGCGGGCGGAGGAAAUUUGAGAGGAGCUGUCCUUAGUACGAGAGGACCGGGAUGGACGCACCGCUGGUGUACCAGUUGUCCCGCCAGGGGCACCGCUGGGUAGCUAUGUGCGGACGGGAUAAGCGCUGAAAGCAUCUAAGCGUGAAGCCCCCCUCAAGAUGAGAUUUCCCACCGCG
This 2569-nucleotide ribosomal RNA is filed under the name Geobacillus zalihae. RNAcentral's name for it is "bacterial LSU rRNA". It matches the Rfam family "Bacterial large subunit ribosomal RNA". Lineage: Bacteria; Bacillati; Bacillota; Bacilli; Caryophanales; Anoxybacillaceae. The record is from RNAcentral.